This 253-nucleotide ribosomal RNA is filed under the name uncultured bacterium. Its description in RNAcentral is "partial 16S ribosomal RNA". It matches the Rfam family "Bacterial small subunit ribosomal RNA", at positions 524 to 776 of the family's 1533-position model. The record is from RNAcentral.
UACGUAGGGUGCGAGCGUUAAUCGGAAUUACUGGGCGUAAAGCGUGCGCAGGCGGUUUGAUAAGCCAGAUGUGAAAUCCCCGGGCUCAACCUGGGAACUGCAUUUGUGACUGCAAGGCUAGAGUACGGCAGAGGGGGAUGGAAUUCCCCGUGUAGCAGUGAAAUGCGUAGAUAUGCGGAGGAACACCAACGGCGAAGGCAAUCCCCUGGGGCUGUACUGACGCUCAUGCACGAAAGCGUGGGGAGCAAACAGG